UUUUCUGCAAUGUUGUCUUUGCCAACCUUGUGUAACCCCUACCACUGCUCCGAUGCUGUCUGCUGCAGUAUCCAACAUAUCCUUGGUUGCAAAUCAAUUAGUGCUUGUUAAAGUAGCCAGCCUAAGGUCGCUAAUCCUAAUCCCACUGAAUGCUACAACACUGGUGGUGGAGAGACUGAGAGAGAAAUAAGUAUUUUGCAGAGACAGAGACGUUAUCUGGUGGAUGUCACAAGCACAGAGUGAUGAAUACGGAAUCCCGGCUGAAAAACGUUCAAAACGUGAGUUGUGUUUCUCCGGCCACUUUAUAAAA
Long non-coding RNA from Dicentrarchus labrax (European seabass), 310 nucleotides. RefSeq lists it as uncharacterized. NCBI's taxonomy places the organism in Eukaryota, Metazoa, Chordata, Actinopteri, Moronidae. The transcript is spliced from 2 exons. The record is from RefSeq and is a predicted model, not a curated record.